UAAUACGAAGGGGGCUAGCGUUGUUCGGAAUUACUGGGCGUAAAGCGCGCGUAGGCGGACGCUUAAGUCAGGGGUGAAAGGCCGGGGCUCAACCCCGGAACGGCCUUUGAUACUGGGUGUCUGGAGUCCGGAAGAGGUUGGUGGAAUUCCGAGUGUAGAGGUGAAAUUCGUAGAUAUUCGGAGGAACACCAGAGGCGAAGGCGGCCAACUGGUCCGGAACUGACGCUGAGGCGCGAAAGCGUGGGGAGCAAACAGGAUUAGAUACCCUGGUAGUCCACGCCGUAAACGAUGGAUGCCAGCCGUUGGCGGGCGUGCCCGUCAGUGGCGCAGCUAACGCAUUAAGCAUCCCGCCUGGGGAGUACGGUCGCAAGAUUA
RNAcentral lists this ribosomal RNA (375 nucleotides) under uncultured bacterium. RNAcentral describes it as "bacterial SSU rRNA". It matches the Rfam family "Bacterial small subunit ribosomal RNA", at positions 521 to 896 of the family's 1533-position model. The record is from RNAcentral.